RNAcentral lists this microRNA precursor (85 nucleotides) under Bombyx mori (domestic silkworm). RNAcentral describes it as "mir-2807 microRNA precursor family". It matches the Rfam family "mir-2807 microRNA precursor family". Lineage: Eukaryota; Metazoa; Arthropoda; Insecta; Lepidoptera; Bombycidae. The record is from Rfam by way of RNAcentral.
UUAACUCAAACAUUUAUGGAGUUGGAUCGUUUGCCAACGUUUGCCGCUAGGGGGCGCUGUUCCAACUGCAUACAAAUUUGAGUAU